GUCCGGAUGGCGCAGCGGUCAUCGCAUCUGCCUAGUGAGCAGGAGACCCGUGUUCGAAUCCCGGUCCGGCACA
Molecule: non-coding RNA, 73 nt
Organism: Schistocerca cancellata (South American locust)
Lineage: Eukaryota; Metazoa; Arthropoda; Insecta; Orthoptera; Acrididae
Source: the annotation of a RefSeq genome assembly